Non-coding RNA from Schistocephalus solidus, 83 nucleotides. The record is from Rfam. Lineage: Eukaryota; Metazoa; Platyhelminthes; Cestoda; Diphyllobothriidea; Diphyllobothriidae.
GGCCCCGUAGCUCAGUUGGCUAGAGCGUUUAAUGUACUCAAGCCUUCUCCUUGCUGGCGUGAGUUCGAAUCCCACCGAGGCCG